This 865-nucleotide long non-coding RNA is filed under the name Junco hyemalis (dark-eyed junco). RNAcentral describes it as "lncRNA (ENSJHYG00000007627.1)". The record is from RNAcentral. Lineage: Eukaryota; Metazoa; Chordata; Aves; Passeriformes; Passerellidae.
CUGGGGUGCUGCCAGCAUGUCCCUCUGUCCCUCUGCUCUGGCCCCGUGGUGGGCACAGGCUGGGCUGGGGCACGGGGCCCUCUGUGGUUUUCUGAGCCAGCCUUGCCGAGGGCAGGCACAGAUCUCUGGGAAUGUCACCCUGGGCUUUGCUGUGUCCCAGCAGCACGGGAGCUCUUGUGCUGACCCCUCUGGCUCUCCUGGGUGGGAUGUGCUGGGUCCUACCCUGCAGGGCUCCCUCCCACGGGCCUUGGGUUUGAGCCACAGCAGUUAAAUGCCUCGGUUUUUCCAGGAUUGCUUUUCCUGCAGCCCCCAGCAGCUUCCUGAGCCUGUCUUUGGCUGAGAGCCCAGCAGGAAACACUGCCAGCUCCUCCACAGCCACCUCCUGAUGCCCAUCCUAAGGAGGCUGCUGUUUAAUUACGGGGAGGUGGGGAAGAGCCUGGCCAGCCUGCAGGACCCUGCGCUGCCUGGGCUGGGAUGUCCCUGCAGUGGGGACGCGCGGCAGUGCCACCAGCAGCCAGUGCUCCCCGUGCGGGGACAGCAGCACCCCCAGCCCCAGAGAGGCGGGCACGAGGCCUGGACAAUGCCAAGAAACGGGACUCAGCCAUGUGCCCAGGGGCCUGCAGAGGCACUGAUAAAUGAUAAUAACAAAAAAUACCUGUACCUGCCCCUCGCCUUUGCUCAGAUCAGGCCCUCUGGAAGACAAGAGCCCUGCUGGAGCGAGGCUGGGCCAUACAAAGGGCAGCGUUGUGUGGGGCUGGCGGGAGCCGGCGCGGCGCUGUUUGCACAGCAGCCACCCCGAAAUCGGAUUUCACUGCAGCAGCACCGACUCUUCCUCGGGUUUCUGCAGAUCUGGGCUCGCAUCUAU